AUUGAACGCUGGCGGAAUGCUUUACACAUGCAAGUCGAACGGCAGCACGGGGCAACCUGGUGGCGAGUGGCGAACGGGUGAGUAAUACAUCGGAACGUGCCCAAUCGUGGGGGAUAACGUAGCGAAAGUUACGCUAAUACCGCAUACGAUCUACGGAUGAAAGCGGGGGAUCGCAAGACCUCGCGCGAAUGGAGCGGCCGAUGUCAGAUUAGGUAGUUGGUGGGGUAAAGGCUCACCAAGCCGACGAUCUGUAGCUGGUCUGAGAGGACGACCAGCCACACUGGGACUGAGACACGGCCCAGACUCCUACGAGAGGCAGCAGUGGGGAAUUUUGGACAAUGGGCGCAAGCCUGAUCCAGCCAUUCCGCGUGCAGGAUGAAGGCCUUCGGUUGUAACGUAGCUUUUGUUACGGUAACGGAAACGGUUACCGUU
RNAcentral lists this ribosomal RNA (432 nucleotides) under uncultured bacterium. RNAcentral's name for it is "bacterial SSU rRNA". It matches the Rfam family "Bacterial small subunit ribosomal RNA", at positions 30 to 472 of the family's 1533-position model. The record is from RNAcentral.